ACAGCCCGAGGAGGAAGAGCCAAGGACCCCAAGGAGAAGAGAAAGGAGUUCAUGAAGGCAGAAAUGCCUGGGGCCCACGAACAUCCCAGUGUGGCCCUGGACGGGACAUCAUGCUGGGCAACACAGCUAAAAUGCGGGUGAAGACCAGAUUUCUUGCACAUGGCGGUGACGGGAUGCUCCCUAGAGAGCUUCAAGUGGAUUCUUUGCUUUUUAUUUUCUCUCUUAAUAAAAAUGUAUGAUGUUUACAUUGUCAGAGAA
RNAcentral lists this long non-coding RNA (258 nucleotides) under Homo sapiens (human). RNAcentral's name for it is "HSALNT0381475". Lineage: Eukaryota; Metazoa; Chordata; Mammalia; Primates; Hominidae. The record is from RNAcentral.